RNAcentral lists this ribosomal RNA (1447 nucleotides) under uncultured Bordetella sp. Its description in RNAcentral is "partial 16S-23S ribosomal RNA intergenic spacer". It matches the Rfam family "Bacterial small subunit ribosomal RNA". The record is from RNAcentral. Lineage: Bacteria; Pseudomonadati; Pseudomonadota; Betaproteobacteria; Burkholderiales; Alcaligenaceae.
AGUUUGAUCAUGGCUCCCGGAAUUGAACGCUGGCGGGAUGUACACACAUGGAAGUCGAACGGCGCGCUGGACUUCCGGUCUGGUGGCGAGUGGCGAACGAUGAUAAUGUGUAUCGGAACGUGCCUGAUAGCGGGGGAUAACUACGCGAAAGCGUAGCUAAUACCACGCUACGCCCUUCGGGGAAAGCAGAGGACCUUCGGGCCUCGCACUAUUAGAGCGGCCAUUAUCGGAUUAGCUAGUUGGUGGGGUAGCGGCUCGCAAGGCGACGAUCCGUAGCUGGUUGAGAGGACGACCAGCCACUGGGACUGAGACACGGCCCAGACUCCUACGGGAGGCAGCAGUGGGGAAUUUACGGACGAUAGGCCUGAUCCAGCAUCGCGACUGCGAUGAACGCUGGGUUCGUAAAGCUUUAGCGGAAAGAAACGGCGCAGGAUAAUACCCCGUGUGACAUUACCUGCAGAAUAAGCACCGGCUAACUACGUGCCAGCAGCCGCGGUAAUACGUAGGGUGCAAGCGUUAAUCGGAAUUACUGGGCGUAAAGUGUGCGCAGGCGGUUCGGAAAGAAAGAUGUGAAAUCCCAGGAAAUUUGCUUUGGAACUGCAUUUUUAACUACCGAGCUAGAGUGUGUCAGAGGUGGAAUUCCGCGUGUAGCAGUGAAAUGCGUAGAUAUGGAGGAUAUGAUGGCGACAAUAUUCGGGAUUAGUUUUACAGCUCUGCACGAAAGCGUGGGGAGCAAACAAGUUAGAUACCUGGUAGUCCACGCCCUAAACGAUGUCAACUAGCUGUUGGGGCCUUCGGGCCUUGGCGCAGCUAACGCGUGAAGUUGACCGCCUGGGGAGUACGGUCAUAAGAUAAAACUCAAAGGAAUUGGGCGGGGACCCGCACAAAGAAGCCCGGUGGAUGAUGUGGAUUAAUUCGAUGCAGCAUGAAAAACCUUACCUACUAUCGGCAUGUCUGGAAUCCCGAAGAGAUUUGGGAGUGCUCGCAAGAGAACCGGAACACAGGUGCUGCAUGGCUGUCGUCAGCUCGUGUCGUGAGAUGUUGGGUUAAGUCCGCAACGAGCGUAACCCUUGUCAUUAGUUGCUACGAAAGGGCACUCUAAUCGGACGCGGUGACAAACCGGAGGAAGGUGGGGAUGACGUCAAGUCUCAUGGCCCUUAUGGGUAAGGGCUUCACACGUCAUACAAUGGUCGGGACAGAGGGUCGCCAACCCGCGAAGGGGAGCCAAUCCAGAAACCCGAUCGUAGUCCGGAUCGCAGUCCACAACUCAUUGCGUGAAGUCGGAAUCGCUAGUAAUCGCGGAUCAGCAUGUCGCGGUAGUUCCCGGGUCUUGUACACACCGCCCGUCACACCAUGGAGUGGGGUUUUACCAGAAGUAGUUAGCCUAACCGUAAGGAGGGCGAUUACCCUGGUAAGUUCAUGACUGGGGUGAAGUCGUAACAAGGUA